This is a long non-coding RNA of Sapajus apella (tufted capuchin), 156 nucleotides long. RefSeq lists it as uncharacterized. The record is from RefSeq and is a predicted model, not a curated record. The transcript is spliced from 3 exons. NCBI's taxonomy places the organism in Eukaryota, Metazoa, Chordata, Mammalia, Primates, Cebidae.
GGCCUCAUAGAUGUCUUCUUUUGUGAAGUGUCUGUUCAUAUCCUUUGCCCACUUUUGAAUGGGCUUGUUUGUUUUUUUCUUGUAAAUCUGUUUUAGUUCUUUGUAUAUUCUGGAUAUCAACCUUUUGUCAGAUGCGUAUAUUGCAAAAAUUUUUUA